This is a long non-coding RNA of Lacerta agilis (Sand lizard), 572 nucleotides long. RefSeq lists it as uncharacterized. The transcript has 3 exons. The record is from RefSeq and is a predicted model, not a curated record. NCBI's taxonomy places the organism in Eukaryota, Metazoa, Chordata, Lepidosauria, Squamata, Lacertidae.
CCCCAUCCCCCUGCAAUUGGUAUUGAUUGACAUGUUGCCUUUGAAUCUGGAGGUCUGCAUAUGGCUGCCUGAGGUUAGACCUCCUACAUGAGUGAAAACAUCCCUCAAACUUCUCCAAGGCAAGGAUGGCUCUUUGCAGAGCAUACAUGAACAGAAUAAGCUUCUACCAACAAAUAUCUUUGUGAAUCCCACCUGCUCCUUCGGGAAUAAGGUAUAUCCUGAGGCUGUUGCAGCAGAUUUCUCGAUUAUUCUCAGAAGGCAUUUCUCCCUCCACUAAACGCACCAUCGUGAGUCAUUUGUUGCUAAAUCACCCUAUUUUUGUGCUCAAAGUGGCCUAAUCAUUAUGGGAAUAAUGGCAAGGAAAUGAGGUUUGGUUGGGUUGUUGUUUUUAGCAAGUGAAAAAUGCAUAUGUGGCUUAAAUUAACAGUAAAUGUACUCUAAUGGGAUUGGCACCCAGAGGCUCUAAUUAAGGGUUAAAAUCAAACAAGACGCACAAUUUUGGGACUUAAUUGCUCCCUGGUUUGUGCGUCAUUGCUUGUGUUUAGAAGGAGAUGGGAGGGGGAAGGGGUAGU